Bos taurus (domestic cattle) is the source of this 1269-nucleotide long non-coding RNA. The record is from Ensembl. Lineage: Eukaryota; Metazoa; Chordata; Mammalia; Artiodactyla; Bovidae.
GGACUAGCUUUCAUUGGCUACAGCCACCACAUCAAAUAUCAGUAAAACAUGAGAACAAGAACCACAUGAAGGGAGAGAGCACCAACCUCGGGGAGCCUCUUAACACUUAAGAAGCCUCUUGGUAGAACUGAAGCCUCCAGAAUAAAAAACAAGCACCGUUGUUCUCUAUGGUCUAAAUCACUUCAAAAGAGAUUAAGGAGCCCCAAAAAGAUAAAACUCAGCUUAGAUGUGCACCCACCCACUUCCUUGCUAGCAUCUUCCACGGCAUGGCAGGAACCAGGCCCCACUAAGCAGGGGGCAAGGAGAGGCUGGGGCGGAGGGAGCUGAAGCGAGGCAGAGAAGACCCCCGCCGCCCUCCGUGCACCCCUACCAUUUGCAGACUCGGACUCAGAUAGUGAGCCCAGAGGUGGCACCGCGCUCGAUGCUGUGGAGGCCAGACGGCUGGAUCACUCGACUCUGCCACGCUCGGCUCCAGGACCCUGCAGUUUUCUGACUCAGAUCUCAGCGAGCACCACUGACAUCUGUUACCCCUGAAGAGAUGUGAUAUGGGGCCUAAUGGAUUUUCUGUGUGUUCCUUUCUGACCCUGGAGAGACCUCCCAGGAAGACCAAAUAUGUCUAUCAGAGGGGUCAGGCCCCUCGCAGGGAAAAUGCGAUCCAACACCACUGCAGUCUCUGGCUGCAGAGAGUGAAAGGAAAGGACCAGAAGAAACAAAGCAAGCCCAGCCCGGGGAGAGCAGGCCCCCGCGGGCUCCACUGCUGCGCAGGCGCGAAUGGCAGCAAGCCGCGUGCGACCAGCUUGCAUCAAGAGCGCGUUUCAAUCCCUUACACUUGGCAUUCAAGAACAUUUUGUCAACGUCAUAGAGUUGCAAGGAAAGCUGAUGUUUAGAAGGACCUACCCUGGGCCAGGAAUCAUACCAGACUCUUUCCUGUAAUUCAAGUCACUAAACUCACAAUGGCAACCCACUCCAGUACUCUUGCCUGAAAAGUCCCAUGGACAGAGGAGCCUGGGACCACCUAGUCCAGCACCGGCCCAGAUGACUUCUCCUCCUGGUUCCACGGUGGGAAGGCACGGCCAGGAACCACAGCCAAGCUAGAAAUAGCAUCUGGGUUGCUGGGUUCCAGCAUCCAUGCCGGAUCUGUGAGUCAGCCUGUCAACAGCACUGAUAAGGUGCGCACCGAGCCUUGCUAGGCCCAGGCAGAGUGACCCAGGACGGAGGACACCCUGUCCCCACCAGGCCUGGAAGCAUCUGACCGGGACUCUCCAGAAC